RNAcentral lists this ribosomal RNA (657 nucleotides) under Salmonella enterica subsp. enterica serovar Infantis. RNAcentral describes it as "partial 23S ribosomal RNA". It matches the Rfam family "Bacterial large subunit ribosomal RNA", at positions 2146 to 2802 of the family's 2925-position model. Lineage: Bacteria; Pseudomonadati; Pseudomonadota; Gammaproteobacteria; Enterobacterales; Enterobacteriaceae. RNAcentral also lists the same sequence under 3 other names. The record is from RNAcentral.
GGUGGGAGGCUUUGAAGCGUGGACGCCAGUCUGCGUGGAGCCGACCUUGAAAUACCACCCUUUAAUGUUUGAUGUUCUAACGUGGACCCGUAAUCCGGGUUGCGGACAGUGUCUGGUGGGUAGUUUGACUGGGGCGGUCUCCUCCUAAAGAGUAACGGAGGAGCACGAAGGUUGGCUAAUCCUGGUCGGACAUCAGGAGGUUAGUGCAAUGGCAUAAGCCAGCUUGACUGCGAGCGUGACGGCGCGAGCAGGUGCGAAAGCAGGUCAUAGUGAUCCGGUGGUUCUGAAUGGAAGGGCCAUCGCUCAACGGAUAAAAGGUACUCCGGGGAUAACAGGCUGAUACCGCCCAAGAGUUCAUAUCGACGGCGGUGUUUGGCACCUCGAUGUCGGCUCAUCACAUCCUGGGGCUGAAGUAGGUCCCAAGGGUAUGGCUGUUCGCCAUUUAAAGUGGUACGCGAGCUGGGUUUAGAACGUCGUGAGACAGUUCGGUCCCUAUCUGCCGUGGGCGCUGGAGAACUGAGGGGGGCUGCUCCUAGUACGAGAGGACCGGAGUGGACGCAUCACUGGUGUUCGGGUUGUCAUGCCAAUGGCACUGCCCGGUAGCUAAAUGCGGAAGAGAUAAGUGCUGAAAGCAUCUAAGCACGAAACUUGCCCCGA